RNAcentral lists this ribosomal RNA (253 nucleotides) under uncultured bacterium. RNAcentral describes it as "partial 16S ribosomal RNA". It matches the Rfam family "Bacterial small subunit ribosomal RNA", at positions 524 to 776 of the family's 1533-position model. The record is from RNAcentral.
UACGUAUGGAGCAAGCGUUAUCCGGAUUUACUGGGUGUAAAGGGAGCGCAGGCGGCUUUGCAAGUCUGAUGUGAAAGGCCGGGGCUCAACCCCGGGACUGCAUUGGAAACUGUAAAGCUAGAGUGCCGGAGAGGUAAGCGGAAUUCCUAGUGUAGCGGUGAAAUGCGUAGAUAUUAGGAGGAACACCAGUGGCGAAGGCGGCUUACUGGACGGCAACUGACGCUGAGGCUCGUAAGCGUGGGGAGCAAACAGG